CAAUAGUCAUACAAAAAUCAUUAAAAGUCAUUGAUAAAAAUUCAGCUGCGUUAUCAAGUCGAAUUGACUUGAUUGGAUGAUCCGAGAACUGAGCCCGUACCUUGAUUAUUUGAGCAAGAAGUUUUAAGAAGGCAAAAUUUCGAGAAGAGGGAAGACAAACAUGAGACCAUCUAGUUGAAGCAUCUAUUAAAACCAUGAAAUAUCGAAAUGG
This 211-nucleotide long non-coding RNA is filed under the name Panax ginseng (ginseng). Its description in RNAcentral is "long non-coding RNA (PGIN_LNC000425)". The record is from RNAcentral. Lineage: Eukaryota; Viridiplantae; Streptophyta; Magnoliopsida; Apiales; Araliaceae.